This is a long non-coding RNA of Plutella xylostella (diamondback moth), 758 nucleotides long. RefSeq lists it as uncharacterized. Lineage: Eukaryota; Metazoa; Arthropoda; Insecta; Lepidoptera; Plutellidae. The record is from RefSeq and is a predicted model, not a curated record.
AUUGACCAAGAUUGACAUCCAAACACAAGGUACUUCAGCUGUCAAACAAUUAGUUUAGUUACAUUUUUCAAGAAAAUUUUGUGUUUUUUAUGUGAAAUUGUGCCUAUGUGUAGUGUUAAAACUUGCAUAAUACUGCCUUUAUCAUGGGUAGAUGCGGUGUGUUAGGCUGCCCCAUGAAAAGUAUUAAAAAACAUUCAAAUAUAUCGCUGCACAAAUUACCAAAAUGUAAAAAAACUAGAGAAAAGUGGCUGGAUAUACUCGGGGCCGAAAAUGUAAUCACAACAACAAAAUACACUUAUAUUUUGUUCCCUGCAUUUCGAAGAAAAAUGUAUUAACCGAACUUUGGAUGUAACAAGACUUCGCGAUGAUGCUUUGCCUUCAAGGGAGUUGUUGAUACCAGCUCAAUUUGAAGACAGAGAGAAACAACAAUCUGUUCCUCGCAAAGUAUUUGAGGAGAAGCCUACCUGCAGCACUUGUAACUAUGAAAAUGUAAGUGUAAUAUUUCAUAAUACGUUGCUAUAGGUUACGAACCAAUUUAGACAUUUUACAUACUGACUAAAUAUUAAUAGUAGAUUGCUAUACAAGGUGCUAAAAUGACCCAUUAUAAGGAAGUAGUAUACAGGGUGAGUCUUUCGUAGCUGCAUAUCCGGAAGUAUGUUACAGAGCUCUUCAUUCUGAACAACUUUUGUUAUAAUGACCUUGGGAUAUAACGAAAAAAAAGAUUCUUCCCCAUACCAAAAUUGGUUAACGUGACACUG